CUACCGAUGUCUUAUACAUCUACAUCAUUGAAAUCGAAUGUUAACAAUACUAACACUAAUUCACUGACCCAUUGGAAUUCUAAAGCUAAGUUUUGCAACAAAAGAAAGAAUUGAAAUAUGACAUAAAUACAAUAAUAGAAAGGGGAAAAGGAGAGAUUUAUUUCAGUCAUGUUACUCCAGGCCAUAGACAGGCAAUUUGCAAUCACACUCAAAAUCGGUGAUCGUGUUAAUGUUAUCCGUCAUGUAAAAAUUACAGACCAUUUCACCUUGAUUCACAACUACAACCUAAUCAUGCAUUUAGUAUAAUGGUGAGGCAGAAAAACAUAGCGAAACAGAAUAGAAACCUCUUUAAUUACAGCAGGACUUGAUGAAGUUAUCAAAGCUAGAUAAUCCAGGAACUCAUGAGAUGGACUUAGUCUUUGACGAAGCAUUUUGAUGUGCGGAUCCAAGUUUUUUGGAUCCAAUGAAGAAACCACUUCUUGUGAUGAAACAUUGAAUUUUGUACUAGAUUCAGAGUUCUGUCAUGCACAAUUGAAGAUUCAAACUGCUCCAGUACCAUUACAGAAAAUGUUCAAAAUGAUAUGGUGGGAGAGUUAACAAUCCCUUUCCCAAAUGAACAAGACCUUAGGCAAUCCGCACCUGCAGCAGUAGUAAUUCCCAAAAUCAGAGUGGAUUAGAUACUUAAUAUUACAGAGUUGACAUAAGAGAACAAGGAAAAUUAAUUCUUACACAGAACAAAGGUUAGCCUAUUUGUAGUAAUAACUGGACAGAAUAUACAGCAUGCCAGCUAUUCUGGCAUUGUUUUUUCCUAGACCUAUCAAUCCCAAAGAAAUGAUAGCAGCUUACAUACAAUAUUUAGAUAAGCAGUUCAUAUUUGAGAAUUUUUUUAUAGCAACAAAAUUAUCUACUUUCUGCUGUUCUUCAAACAUACCAUAGCUACUUUGGAGUAUAAAUCAUUACUAAGCUUGCUCAAAGUGUUCAUCGCAUUGACCUUUCUGAACCACCAAGAAGCAAAAUUUAUGCUUGCACAUGACCCAAAAAAAAAGAGGAAAAAGCCUGGGCAUCUACUGUUUAAGAGUGAAAGACCUGCUUGUUACACUAUCUGUUGUACAUCACCUGAUCCUGAUAUAUUGAUGAUAGUAUCGGGGCAGGUUUACACAACAACACUGGAGAACUUCCUAUACCAUCUCUACUUAAGUCUUCACCCAAAGGAACCCCUAGAAUCACUAAACUACCCAUUUAGAUGCAAUAUUAUACAGGUCCUCCUUAUCAAAGGUGAAAAUAUCCAUUGACAUGCCAUUUAUUCUAUAGUAGAGUCAGUGGAGCAUAUCAGAGUUAUUUAACUAAGUUAUUAAUAAUUUUUUGACAUUUUAAAUUUGGCAAUUACUACUUUAUAUAGUUGUUUCAUCGGAGGGGGUUCGGAUGAACCCCGAACCACAAGGUGGCUCCGCCAAUGUCUGUGAAGUUAAACACCUAAAGUAAAUUCGCCACACAAGUUUAGAAUUGUUUUAAUAUCUCUUCUCUACGGUAUUAAACAGUGGAAAUGACACCAUCUAAUUAAUAUUGGUGUCAAUUCCAAUAACUUAUAGCUGCAAUUUGUGACUGGUUUUACAAGUGCAAAUAACUUUUUAAAGCCACUUCUAUUCUUAUUAUUUCAGUAAAUCAUCAACAUUAUGCCAAAUAUACAAAAAAAUUAGUCUGGCCAGAAAUAAAUAAUACUCGUGCCGAAAUAUUACUCCACAUGUCUCAACCGAGAGUCUGCUCUCCCUUUUUAACCACUUAAGCUAACUGCCACACCACAUUUCCUCCCCCAAAAGAAAAUAUUUUAGUUGGAUUUUCAUGAUUCCUGAUGUUCAGGAGACACAAAUUGGAUAUACUUCCUACUGUUGUGUUGUAGAUGUCUAUCGAAUAAGCAAAUCAACAUAAUUAGUUUCCUCAAUCUGACUGCAAUCACUAGGCAAUACUUGUGUAGCAUUUUCUAAGUAACAUGCUAAGGAUCAUCCUUUCUACUAACAUCAUUUCUCGUUAAUCUGAAAACACACAUGAAAAAGAAUAACAAUCUAAACAUAGAAACUACAUUAUAUACAAAUUAAAUCAACAAUUAAGACUACAAUAAUUAAAACUCUAACAAGUAACACUCAUCUUACUCAACUUCUGGUUGUCAAUAUAACGCAUUUCAACAUCUUCCCUAACAUAAUGACUGCAAUCAUUAGAAUUACAAGGAGAAAUAAAAACGCAAUUAAAUGAACCUAAGAAAAAGUCAAAAUCCUAAAAAAUUAGGUCAAAGUCAUAGAAGAAUACACUAACCUUAAAAUUCCCAAAUUAAAGCAAUUGAAGUGCGAAUUUGAGAGAAAUUGAAGUACAAAUUUGGCCUGACUUUCCAACAUAAAUCGAUUUUUGAAGCGGCACCAGUAACACCCACAGAUUUCACCAUCGGCAGCUCACUACUAGACCAUCUCCACAAGAUUAAAUGGUUUGUACCAAUUGUAGCGACUGUCGUUAGCGAUUUUGUAGCCCUAAUCAUCGAUUGUAACUAUGAGAAACUAUAUGUUUAAGCUAAGAGAGUAAUCGCAUCGUCGAUUCGAUUGUAGCGAUGAAAAGCUGUAGGUUUAACCUAAAAGAGAAAUCCCAUCGUCGAUUGUAGCGAGAGAAAUAAGAGAGAAUGUUUAAGCCCUAAUCGCUGAUUGUAAAAUGAAUAAGGUUUAAGAUGUAGGAAAGCUUUCUUUUGGCGGACUGAAUGAAAAGUUUUUGUGAAAAUGGAGGGAAUAAAUUAAGCGUUGACAUAGCUUAUUUUAUUUAGCUAUUGCAACGCUUAUGGUCAAAAUCAAUGGUUAAAAUGUUAAAUUAGAGCUAACAGAGCAAUAAUUUUUGGCAAUGCUUGCAACCGUUGCCAAAGACCACCUAUUGCAACGCUUUGUUAACCGCCGCCAAAACGUUAGUUGCAAUAGGGGUAAUUUCUAGUAGUGGUUCUAAUAUACUACUGUUUGUGGGUUAUAACUCAUAUGGAUUUAUCUCAAUAAACAUCUCUUUGAUGGGCAACAUAAUGCCCCUUCCCCAGCUCUUGCUUUAACUUAGCUACGCAAUAUUGAUGCUUAGCAGGCGAUUCAAUGAUCAAAUGCAACCCUUUUACCUUAUAUGUUAAAUGGAACCCUCUAAAAAAAUGAAGCACGAUCUAAAGCCUUUGAAAAUAAAUGUGGAUGCAGAGGAUAUGAUUACCUUGCUUAAUAAUGCAGACACAAAUACUAACAGUUCUACCCUAUUAUGUGAUUGCAGGUUCCUCCUUGUAAUCCGACAUGACAUUCAUAUCUACAAAAAGUAUAAUAGAUUAGCUAAUAGUCUAGCACGAAUAUUAUGUAGGGAAUAAACCCCACCACAAUAGUAAUAUUGCGGUAAUAAAGAGCAAUAAAUAUGACAACAAUAAUACGGUUAAUCAACAAAAACAAUAAGAGCGAUAAUGACACCAAGAUUUUUACGUGGAAACUCAAUAAGGAAAAAAUACCACAGGCCAAGAAGAGCAACUGAUAUCCCUGUAGUAAGGAAUUUUACACCAUAGUCCCAAUUACAAUACUCAAAGUGACUACUACACACUCAAAAGAAAUCUCUAUUUUGAUUUUUCCACCUCACUACAAUAUCGCUCACAGUCUCUAUUUUUUCUUCACAGACUUAACUCUCUGUGAUGCCUCACUCUAUUUUUCUUUCACUCUUUUGUUGGUGUGAUGUCUAAGUGAGCUGAAGCCCUCUAUUUAUAGUAAAAAGAGGGAGUGCAUAUAUGCCACUGAUGACAUAAUGUGUAGCAAUUGUCAACUACACAAUCUCUAAUUGAUAUCUUUCUUUCUGCAAUGGUUGAAGAAAGAAAACCAAAAGAAAAAGUUUUCAAUGUUUCAUUUAUGGGCUGGACCCCAUAAAUCUCCCCCUCCAGUCCCAUAAACCUGAAAGAGGUAUUCUCGUCUUCUCAAAGAGAGCUCAUGCCGACAAGUUCUUUGCACAAUUUGAACUUGUCUUGUGAUACCACCUUGGUCAGCAUAUCCAAAGGAUUCUCACUUGUAGGGAUUUUCUUGAUCAGCAUAGAUUUGUCCUCUAUCUUUUCUCGAAUCCAGUGAUAUCUCACAUCGAUAUGCUUCAUUCUUGCGUAAUACAUGGUGUUUCUGCUUAAGUCUAUUGCACUUUAACUUUCACAAUAGACAACGUUCUCCUUCAGAUCCAACCCAAGUUCUUGAAGAAACCGUUUCAAUCAUACCAUCUCCUUGCUAGCUUCAGUAGUUGUAAUAUACUGUACUUCAAUUUUAGAGAGUACGAUACACUUCUGCAACUUUGAUUGCCAUGAUAUAGCUCCCCCUAAAAAUGUAAACAAAUAUCCUGUAGUGGAUUUUUUGUUGUCAAGGUCACCUGCCAUAUCAGCACCUGUAUAGCCCUUCAACAUUAGAUCAGAUCCACCAAAACACAAGCAAUCUCCUGUGGUACCUCUCAAAUACCUAAGUAUACACUUGACUGCUUCCCAAUGUUCUUUCCCAGGAUUUUCAAGGAACCUUCUAACAACCCCAACUGCAUGAGCAAUAUCCAGUCUGGUACACACCAUGGCAUACAUCAAACUCUCGACUGCUGAAGAAUAAGGAACAUUAGCCAUAUUUCCUUUUUCUUUCUUUAUUGUAGAACAUAUUUUCUUACUUAACUUCAGAUGACCAGCGAGAGGUGUGCUAAUAACUUUAGCACUCUUCAUGUUGAAGCGUUCGAGUACACGUUCAAUGUACUUCUCCUAAGAUAGCCACAACUUUUAUCUUGAUCGUGCUCGAACAAUUUUCAUCCCCAGAAUUUGUUGUGCUGGGCCCAAGUCUUUCAUAUCAAAUGACUUGGACAAAUCUUUCUUCAACUUGGCAAUCAGCUCCUUGUUUUGUCCUACAAUCAACAUGUCAUUCACAUACAACACCAGAAUAAUAAAGUUGUUGUUUGAAAACCUUUUGAAGUAUACACAUGGUUCAGAAUAAGUCUUUUUGUAGAUUUGACUUUGCAUGAAUGAGUCAAACUUCUUGUACCACUGCCUUGGUGCCUACUUCAAUCCAUAAAGACUCUUAUUCGGUUUACAGACCAUGUGUUUCUUUCCAGCUACUUCAAAUCCUUCUGGCUGGUCCAUAUAAAUCUUUUCUUCCAAAUCUCCAUGAAGAAAUACAGUUUUCACAUCCAACUGCUCCACUUCAAGAUCUAGGCUAGCUUCUACGCUCAAAAUGGUUCGAAUAGAAGUCAUUUUGGCAACGGGUGAAAAGAUUUCAUCAAAAUCAAUACCUUUCUUCUAUUCGAAGCCUUUUCCCACCAAUCGAGCUUUAUAUCUGACCAGCUAUUUUCCAUUUCCAUCUUUCUUGAGUUUAAAAAACACUACUAAAAAUGCCUAAAAGCAAUGGCAAGUGUCGCUUUUUGGGGCAAAAGUGACGAAAAUCCAUCAUUUUUUUCGUCUAAAAAAGGGGCAUUUUUUAAAAACGACGGCAUGUGCCGCUUUUAUUAUGACAGACAGCGUCGCUUUUUGAAAAAAAAAAUUUACAUUUUUUAGAAGAAACGACGCAUAAUGUCAUUUUAUUGAAGGAAAAAUUAAAAAAAAUCAGAAAAAACGACAUUGUCCGUCGUAUUUUGAGAAAAAAAAUUCAUAAUGAAGAAAAAAAGCGACGUUGGCCGUCGCAUUUUGUUCUUCAUAAUGAAGAAAAAAAAGCGACGUUGGCCGUCACUUUUUGUAUUUCAUAAUGAAGAAAAAAAGUGAUGUUGACCGUCGCUUUUUAAAAAUUUUAUUUUAAAAAAUUUCAGAAACGUGACGGACGAAAGAGAUCAUGUCCGUCGCUUUUCUGCAUUUUUUUUAAUGCAAAAAUCUGCAUUUUUUGCAUCCCACCUGCCAAAUAAAAAUGCAAUUCAAUAUAUACAGCCUCAUGCAACGCACAUUUCUAAAAUAAUCAUACAACACACAACAUUAUCAAAACAUUUAAGCAAUUCAAAUCAACAACACUUACACAAUCAAAUCCAAAAUACAAAACACUUAAUAAUUAAUCCAACAACCACCAAAACACUUAAACAAUUCUAAAGUUUUUUCAUUGGAGUCUACAGGUGUCCAAGAUUUCCUUUUAGCAGUUGACUUCGAGCUCUUACAUCAAAACAUAUAAAACAUAUAAAAAUCAAGUCAUUAGUUCAUAUUUCAUAUGACUACACUUAAUAUUUUCAAGUUACUAGUAUACAUUUCAAGAUGCUAUACUUAAUCCAUUUUUAAAUAUCUAAUUGACAUUUUAUUUCACUAUGCUUAACCAUUUUCAAAUGACUAAUAGACAUUUCAAGUAACUACACUUAACCAUUUUCAAAUAAAUAAUUCACAUUGUAAGUCACCACACUUAGAAUAUUUUCAAGUUACUAGUACACAUUUCAAAUCACUACACUUAACUAUUGUCAAUUAAGUAAAUCACAUUUCAAGUCAAUAUACUUAAUCAUUUUCAAGUGACUAUACCUUAUUAUUUUAAAGUUAUUAGUACACUUUUCAAGUAACUACACUAAACCAUUUUUAAGCAUCAAGUUCACAAUUUCAAGUAACUACACUUAACCGUUUUCAAGUCACAAGUUCACAAUUUCAAGUAACUACACUUAAUCAUUUUUAAGUCACUACAAUUAAUAAUUUUCAAAUAACUUAUUCACUAGUACACAUUUCAAGUCACUACACUCAAACCAUUUUCAAAUAGCUAAUUGACAUUUCAAGUUACUAUACUUAAGCAUUUUCAAGUAACUACACUUGAACCAUUUUCAAGUCACUAGUACACAUUUCAAGUCACUAUACUUAACCAUUGUCAAAUAACUAAUUCACGUUUCAAGUCACUACACUUAACCAUUUUCAAAUAACUAAUUCACAUUUCAAAUCACUACACUUAACCAUUUUCAAAUAAGUAUUUUACAUUUAAAAUAACUAUACUUAACCGUUUUCAAGUCACUACACUUAAUCAUUCAUUUCAAAUCACUAUACUUAAUCACUUUCAAGUAACUAAUUCACAUUCUAAGUAACUACACUUAACCAUUUUCAAGUCACUAGUAACCGUUUUUAAGUCACUAGUAACCGUUUUCAAGUCACAAGUUUACAAUUUCAAGUAACUACACUAAACCAUUUUCAAGUCACUACACUUAAUAAUUUUCAAAUAACUUAUUCACAUUUCAAGUCACUACACUCUAACCAUUUUCAAAUAGCUAAUUGACGUUUCAAGCCACUAUGCUUAACCAUUUUCAAGUCAUGUACUAGCAUUUCAAGUCACUACACUUAACUGUUUUUAAUUAACUAAUUCACAUUUUUAAGUCACUAUACUUAACCAUUUUCAAAUAACUACACGUUUUAACCAUUUUCAAGUCACUAGUACACAUUUCAAGUCACUACACUUAACUGUUUUUAAUUAACUAAUUCACAUUUUUAAGUCACUAUACUUAACCAUUUUCAAGUAACUACACUUAACCAUUUUCAAGUCACUAGUACACAUUUCAAGUCACUACACUUAACUGUUUUUAAUUAACUAAUUCACAUUUUUAAGUCACUAUACUUAACCAUUUUCAAGUAACUACACUUAACCAUUUUCAAGUCACUAGUACACAUUUCAAGUCACUACACUUAACUGUUUUUAAUUAACUAAUUCACAUUUUUAAGUCACUAUACUUAACCAUUUUCAAGUAACUACACUUAACCAUUUUCAAGUCACUAGUACACAUUUCAAGUCACUAAACCAUUUCAAAUAACUAGUACACAUUUCAAGUCUCUACACUUAAUCAUUUUCAAAUAAAUAAUUCACAUUUUAAAUCAUUACACUUAACCAUUUUAAAAUAAUUAAUUCACAUUUCAAGUCAAUCCAAGUUCUGUGGUUUCUAUGUGAAAAUGGAACAAAAUUGAAAUUGGAAAAAAUAAACCGAAGUGUUAACUAUUAGUUGCUUGAUGUUUGUUUGUUUCCAUAAUAAAAGAAUCACUGGCUCCAGAAUGCUUUUCUAGUAUAUUUGUUUUAUAAUUUGUGAUAGUAUUUGUUUUCAUCCUUUCAGUAUUAUGAUCAGUUGAUGCAAUGUAUAUGUUCCAAAAUAUAUGGAUAUUGUUGUCAUUGUGUGCUAGUGUUGGUUAGUUUUUUAUUUUUUAUUUUUUGAUCGAACUAGUUAAGGAGCUGAUUGGAGUAGUUCAAUUAGGUAAUAUAUUCAUUAGUAUUAGAAAUUAAUAAUUUGAAAACAAAAAUAAGAAACCUAUGUGCUUUGUAAUAGGACUUCCAUUAACUUCAUAUAUCUUGAUUUUAUCAGGAACUACAGAAGACAACAAGUAGAUAAGAGACUCCCACUCGUUUCUUCCAAUUGAAUCCCUAACAAAUACAACCCGUCUGUUUCGCAGCUUUUCCAACGUAAUUUUUGCAUCGAAUCUACUUAAGAGUAAAUAGAAAAUUCAAAAUUUGCAUUCAAUAAUCAUGAAAAAGAUUAAUAAUUUGAAAACAAAAAUAAGACUGAUUUUAUUCUCUAAAGCACUAGUUUGAAAUUAAGCAACCGUGAAUUAAAAGGAAAACAGUUGAACAUCAAAAGAAAAAUAACAACAUAGUACAAUAAAGGGGGCCGACAUUACAUGAGGGCCUCAUUCCGCUUGCUGCUAUUUAAGCCGGUGGCAGCGGCUGGAUGGGCUGGCGGUAGCUGUGGUGUCGGUUGGCCGGAGAACGGCGGCGGCUGACGGAUAGGGCUGUUGGUGAUGGUGGCAUGUUUCACCGGCUGGAAAUGAAGAGAGAGAAAAGAAGGGUAUAGGGAAAGGGGAGGCUUCUCCGUUCAUGGUUGCACCUGUGGUGGAAGAGGUGGCGGUCGACGACAGCCAUGGCUGCUAGCAGAGAGAGGAAGAGAGAGAUGACAGUAGAAUAUGUUAGGGUUUGGUGAAUAUGUUAGGGUUUGGCCAUGAUUUUGUUUAAAAGGGAAGAAGAGGAUGAUUUAAUCUUAGCCGUUG
Molecule: long non-coding RNA, 8953 nt
Filed under: Capsicum annuum
Lineage: Eukaryota; Viridiplantae; Streptophyta; Magnoliopsida; Solanales; Solanaceae
Description: long non-coding RNA (CANN_LNC016930)
Source: RNAcentral